Dipodomys ordii (Ord's kangaroo rat) is the source of this 70-nucleotide non-coding RNA. Lineage: Eukaryota; Metazoa; Chordata; Mammalia; Rodentia; Heteromyidae. The record is from Rfam.
GGAAAUGUGGCUUAGUGGUAGAGUGCUUGCCUAGAAUGCAUAAAGCAUGGGGUUCGAUUCUUCAGUACCA